This 440-nucleotide ribosomal RNA is filed under the name uncultured bacterium. RNAcentral describes it as "partial 16S ribosomal RNA". It matches the Rfam family "Bacterial small subunit ribosomal RNA", at positions 338 to 795 of the family's 1533-position model. The record is from RNAcentral.
CCUACGGGCGGCUGCAGUAGGGAAUAUUGCUCAAUGGGGGAAACCCUGAAGCAGCAACGCCGCGUGGAGGAUGAAGGUUUUCGGAUUGUAAACUCCUUUUGUUAGAGAAGAUAAUGACGGUAUCUAACGAAUAAGCACCGGCUAACUCCGUGCCAGCAGCCGCGGUAAUACGGAGGGUGCAAGCGUUACUCGGAGUCACUGGGCGUAAAGGGCGCGUAGGCGGGAUAGCAAGUCAGAUGUGAAAUCCUAUGGCUUAACCAUAGGACUGCAUUUGAAACUGGUAUUCUAGAGUAUGGGAGAGGUAGGUGGAAUUCUUGGUGUAGGGGUAAAAUCCGUAGAGAUCAAGAGGAAUACUCAUUGCGAAGGCGACCUGCUAGAACAUAACUGACGCUGAGGCGCGAAAGCGUGGGGAGCAAACAGGAUUAGAUACCCUUGUAGUC